CACGUAGGGGCCAAGCGUUGUCCGGAUUCAUUGGGCGUAAAGAGCUCGUAGGCGGUUCAGUUAGUCGGGUGUGAAAUCUCCGGGCUCAACCCGGAGGGGCCACCCGAUACUGCUGUGACUCGAGUCCGGUAGGGGAGUGGGGAAUUCCUGGUGUAGCGGUGAAAUGCGCAGAUAUCAGGUGGAACACCAGUGGCGAAGGCGGCUUUCUGGACGAUAACUGACGCUGAGACGCGAAAGCGUGGGGAGCAAACAGG
Molecule: ribosomal RNA, 254 nt
Filed under: uncultured bacterium
Lineage: Bacteria
Description: partial 16S ribosomal RNA
Rfam family: Bacterial small subunit ribosomal RNA
Source: RNAcentral